Long non-coding RNA from Mastomys coucha (southern multimammate mouse), 580 nucleotides. RefSeq lists it as uncharacterized. The transcript has 2 exons. The record is from RefSeq and is a predicted model, not a curated record. NCBI's taxonomy places the organism in Eukaryota, Metazoa, Chordata, Mammalia, Rodentia, Muridae.
AGGUUUACAAGGUCCUGUCUGUCUCAGAACUCCCUUCCCUGAAGCCUUCCUGAGUUUCAGACCAUGCCUGUUGCACAGAGGUAGAGAAGGGCAUGAACUUUGGUUUCAGACACUCAGGAGUGGGAUUCUAGUCACACCUUCUGCCAGUAGCACAACACAUGUGGGCAACUCCUUACUUUGUAAAAUGGGCUACAACUCUCUACCUUGCCUUGUUCUCCUGUUUGGCCUGUUCCACCUUUAUUAGCUUGCUUGUCUGUUCCUCAGAUAUCCGAUGUCUUUCCUGCCUUGGGGCCUUUGUGCUUUUCUGUAUGGUCUGCUUGACAUGUUCUUUCUGUCACCUUCACCUUUGUGAGCUAGCUUUCUGUUACUGCAGCAACCAUCUGAGCAGAUUAACUUACACAGAGGAAAAGUUCAUUUUGGCCUAUAGCCUAGGAGGUUUCAGCUCAUGAUCUGUUGACCUUGGUGGUAAGAAUGUGAGCUCCAAGAAGGCCACGCCCUCUCUCAGCUUGUGCAGCGCCAUAUUCCCAGGGCCUCAUGUCAUGCAUGGCAUAUUGUAGACAAUAAACAUCUGCUAAAUGAA